UCGAAAGUUGAGAUAUUAAUUUUACAAAAGUUGUCUAAAAUCCAACAUACAUAUUCUAUUUAUUGAUAUCUGCACAUUUAUUUGAACUGUAAUACGAACAUGAGCUGGGAAGAUAGAUUUUCGACCAUGGUGAAAGAGAGUAGUGCCAAGAUAGACGAAGCUAAAGUAAGGAUUUUUGACAUUUGGGUUUUUACAAAUUACAAUCACAAAGCACUCACCAUAUUCCUAGCCAGUGUGCUUACACGGUUUGAACUCACAGGUGUUCGUUGUGGGAGUUAGGG
This is a non-coding RNA of Paramuricea clavata, 281 nucleotides long. Lineage: Eukaryota; Metazoa; Cnidaria; Anthozoa; Malacalcyonacea; Plexauridae. The record is from the annotation of a GenBank genome assembly.